This 699-nucleotide long non-coding RNA is filed under the name Capsella grandiflora. Its description in RNAcentral is "long non-coding RNA (CGRA_LNC000812)". Lineage: Eukaryota; Viridiplantae; Streptophyta; Magnoliopsida; Brassicales; Brassicaceae. The record is from RNAcentral.
GUAAGUCGAUCGAGGUGUGGCCGAGGGGUGUUGAUCCUCAAAAGUUGUUUCGAAAAGGAUCACCGAAGGUGAAUCAAUCGGAGAAGUAAUCGGAUGAGAGUCUAUCGUUUCAAGAGAAGGUUCGGUCAAGGUGGAAGAUCGAUGAUAAGUUGUUGGAGCCAAGUGAAGUUUGAUCAAAGGUUUCAAAAGAAAUAGAAUCGGUUUAAGGGAGCCGAAGGAAUUACAUAGGUUCUUGUAAAGUUCACGCAAUGGUAAUGGAAUAUCAUUGUCCGUGAUAUGCAAGGAGUAAGUUCAAGGAAUUUGAUUCCGAUAAGUAAGUGUGAACUUGCUUUCCGGAACCGAGCUGUUGCUGUUGGAAGACUUCAGUAAUGUUCGGUCUAAGUAUAGAAUGGAUAGCCAAGAAGUUUACGUGAAGCAUGAAGUGAUGUUAAGGCAAAGAGUGGCUAGGAAGUGUUAUCAUGAAGUUGGCUAGAUGAAGAUCUAGUAUAUCCGACAAGGGUAUGAUGAAGUGCUGAAUGGUGAGAAUCGAAGUUCUUGGUUUUGGAAUGGAGUUCCUUGAAGAAUUACUGACGGCUAUAGAGAGCCGGAGGUAAGGUGCAUUCGGUAAAGGUUGAGCAUUGUAAAGUUGAAAAGUAAAGCGAACCUGUUGUGAAGGUUGGAGACAGCUCCAUCCAUCAAACGGGACCGAUGAGAAAUGUU